AUAAGUGGAAUAAGAAGUGGAAUUUUUAGAGAAAAACAAGAGAAAGAAACUUUCUUGAUAAAAAGUAGAGAAAUUCUUAAAAGAGAAAGUGGAAACUUUUAGAUAAAAACUAAGAAUUUAUCAGGAAACAAAACAGAGAGUUUUGCGAUAAAAAUUAAGAAAUUAUUUAAAAGACAAAAGGCAGAAAACUUCUGAAUAAAAAAGUGCA
RNAcentral lists this small RNA (208 nucleotides) under Mycoplasmoides pneumoniae M129. Its description in RNAcentral is "Mycoplasma pneumoniae M129 ncRNA". The record is from RNAcentral. Lineage: Bacteria; Bacillati; Mycoplasmatota; Mycoplasmoidales; Mycoplasmoidaceae.